AAAUUGAAGAGUUUGAUCAUGGCUCAGAUUGAACGCUGGCGGCAGGCCUAACACAUGCAAGUCGAACGGUAACAGGAAGCAGCUUGCUGCUUCGCUGACGAGUGGCGGACGGGUGAGUA
Molecule: ribosomal RNA, 119 nt
Filed under: Escherichia coli
Lineage: Bacteria; Pseudomonadati; Pseudomonadota; Gammaproteobacteria; Enterobacterales; Enterobacteriaceae
Also listed under: 12 other names
Description: partial 16S ribosomal RNA
Rfam family: Bacterial small subunit ribosomal RNA
Source: RNAcentral